This 520-nucleotide ribosomal RNA is filed under the name uncultured bacterium. Its description in RNAcentral is "bacterial SSU rRNA". It matches the Rfam family "Bacterial small subunit ribosomal RNA", at positions 8 to 525 of the family's 1533-position model. The record is from RNAcentral.
AGAGUUUGAUCAUGGCUCAGAUUGAACGCUGGCGGCAUGCUUUACACAUGCAAGUCGAACGGCAGCGCGGGGCAACCUGGCGGCGAGUGGCGAACGGGUGAGUAAUACAUCGGAACGUACCCAGAAGUGGGGGAUAACGUAGCGAAAGUUACGCUAAUACCGCAUACGUUCUACGGAAGAAAGUGGGGGAUCUUCGGACCUCAUGCUUUUGGAGCGGCCGAUGUCUGAUUAGCUAGUUGGUAGGGUAAAGGCCUACCAAGGCGACGAUCAGUAGCUGGUCUGAGAGGACGACCAGCCACACUGGGACUGAGACACGGCCCAGACUCCUACGGGAGGCAGCAGUGGGGAAUUUUGGACAAUGGGCGCAAGCCUGAUCCAGCAAUGCCGCGUGAGUGAAGAAGGCCUUCGGGUUGUAAAGCUCUUUUGUCAGGGAAGAAACGGCUGAGGCUAAUACCUUUGGCUAAUGACGGUACCUGAAGAAUAAGCACCGGCUAACUACGUGCCAGCMGCCGCGGUAAUA